RNAcentral lists this ribosomal RNA (456 nucleotides) under uncultured bacterium. RNAcentral describes it as "bacterial SSU rRNA". It matches the Rfam family "Bacterial small subunit ribosomal RNA", at positions 80 to 518 of the family's 1533-position model. The record is from RNAcentral.
AACUGAGAAGGAUAGGUGGCGAACGGGUGAGGUAACACGUGGGUAACCUGCCCAUAAGAGGGGGAUAACAUCCGGAAACGGGUGCUAAUACCGCAUAGUUUUCUUGAUCACAUGAUUGAGAAGGAAAGACGGCCUUUGUGCUGUCGCUUAUGGAUGGACCCGCGGCGUAUUAGUUAGUUGGUGAGGUAACGGCUCACCAAGACGAUGAUACGUAGCCGACCUGAGAGGUGAUCGGCCACAUUGGGACUCGAGACACGGCCCAAACUCCUACGGGAGGCAGCAGUAGGGAAUCUUCCGCAAUGGACGAAAGUCUGACGGAGCAACGCCGCGUGAGUGAAGAAAAGGUUUUCGGAUCGUAAAACUCUGUUGUCAGAGAAGAACAAGUUGGAGAGUAACUGCUCCAGCCUUGACGGUAUCUGACCAGAAAGCCACGGCUAACUACGUGCCAGCAGCCGC